UUUUUAAAUAAAGUUGGAAGGUAAGUUGAAGAUGGAUGUAUAAUAAAAAUUUUAUGUCUUUAAAUUUUCAUGAUGUGACGAAAUUUUAUUAACGCCUAAAAAUCUUAGUUUUUAUAAUGAUCUUAAUAAAAAUUAUUCCUUUAAUAGUUUCACUGGAACAUAAUAACAAUAUAUUAUUUGCUAACAAUUAUGGGAAAUUUUUUAC
Molecule: long non-coding RNA, 205 nt
Filed under: Gossypium raimondii (Peruvian cotton)
Lineage: Eukaryota; Viridiplantae; Streptophyta; Magnoliopsida; Malvales; Malvaceae
Description: long non-coding RNA (GRAI_LNC004438)
Source: RNAcentral